Molecule: ribosomal RNA, 253 nt
Filed under: uncultured bacterium
Lineage: Bacteria
Description: partial 16S ribosomal RNA
Rfam family: Bacterial small subunit ribosomal RNA
Source: RNAcentral
UACGUAGGAGGCAAGCGUUGUCCGGAAUUACUGGGCGUAAAGCGCGUGUAGGUGGUGGGACAAGUCUGCUGUGAAAGCCCCGGGCUUAACCUGGGAACUGCGUUUGAAACUGGGAGACUUGAGUGUGGCAGAGGGGGGUGGAAUUCCACGUGUAGCAGUGAAAUGCGUAGAUAUGUGGAGGAACACCGAUGGCGAAGGCAGCCCCCUGGGUUAACACUGACGCUCAUGCACGAAAGCGUGGGGAGCAAACAGG